RNAcentral lists this ribosomal RNA (520 nucleotides) under Hymenoscyphus fraxineus. Its description in RNAcentral is "eukaryotic LSU rRNA". The stretch from base 170 to 323 matches the Rfam family "5.8S ribosomal RNA". The record is from RNAcentral. Lineage: Eukaryota; Fungi; Ascomycota; Leotiomycetes; Helotiales; Helotiaceae.
AAGGAUCAUUACAGAGUUCCUGCCCUCACGGGUAGAAACCCCACCCUUGUGUAUAUUAUAUUGUUGCUUUAGCAGGUCGCCCUCUGGGCGUCGGCCUCGGCUGACUGUGCCUGCUAGAGGACCCUAAAUUUUGAAAUACAGUGUCGUCUGAGUACUAUUUAAUAGUUAAAACUUUCAACAACGGAUCUCUUGGUUCUGGCAUCGAUGAAGAACGCAGCGAAAUGCGAUAAGUAAUGUGAAUUGCAGAAUUCAGUGAAUCAUCGAAUCUUUGAACGCACAUUGCGCCCCUUGGUAUUCCGGGGGGCAUGCCUGUUCGAGCGUCAUUUAGACCAACUCCCGCUCCGGCGGGGUCUUGGGCUGCGCCUUUGGGCGGGCCUUAAAACCAGUGGCGGUGCCCUAAGGCUCUACGCGUAGUAAUUCUUCUCGCGAUAGGGUCCUUGCGGUGUCUUGCCAGCAACCCCCAACUCUCUAGGGUUGACCUCGGAUCAGGUAGGGAUACCCGCUGAACUUAAGCAUAUCA